This 231-nucleotide long non-coding RNA is filed under the name Ictidomys tridecemlineatus (thirteen-lined ground squirrel). RNAcentral describes it as "lncRNA (ENSSTOG00000034414.1)". The record is from RNAcentral. Lineage: Eukaryota; Metazoa; Chordata; Mammalia; Rodentia; Sciuridae.
CACGUAAUCACAAGAGCAAGGAGGGUCUCCGGGGAACCCUUUGGGAGGACGUACUGUUCGGAUCCCAGGGUCCCCACUGUGCUCGUGUCCCUGUGGCCAUCUCCAGCACGGCUCCUGUCACAGACAGCCCUCCCUGGACCAGGGUGGCUCCCCAGGGCCACACGGGGCCUGAAGGUAUUCCAGGUCUUGCUCGUGAGAAAGCACAGAUGUGAAAAAAUUCAUCUGACUUAG